This is a long non-coding RNA of Bufo bufo (common toad), 257 nucleotides long. RefSeq lists it as uncharacterized. The record is from RefSeq and is a predicted model, not a curated record. The transcript has 3 exons. NCBI's taxonomy places the organism in Eukaryota, Metazoa, Chordata, Amphibia, Anura, Bufonidae.
ACGGUCUAAUUUUUUCUCUAAGAUAAUGCACAAACAGUGCCCCCCGGAGCAGAGCCGUCCAAAUUACUGGACUUCUAUAGAUGGAUGAAGAAAUCUGUAUUUGGGGUUGUUCCACCGGCUGUUCUGCCCCCUCAAUGAAGGCUUUGACCUGUUUUGGGACUGCUGUGCCGUAUACAGGAGACGGUGAUUGGGAUUUUUAUAGAAAGACCUGUCCCAGCAAAGGAGCAACCGUCUCGGAUGAAGAAGAUCCUUGGGUG